This 575-nucleotide ribosomal RNA is filed under the name Sordariomycetes sp. genotype 54. RNAcentral's name for it is "eukaryotic LSU rRNA". The stretch from base 328 to 575 matches the Rfam family "Eukaryotic large subunit ribosomal RNA", at positions 1 to 254 of the family's 3401-position model. Lineage: Eukaryota; Fungi; Ascomycota; Sordariomycetes. The record is from RNAcentral.
ACAAAUAAGUUAAAACUUUCAACAACGGAUCUCUUGGUUCUGGCAUCGAUGAAGAACGCAGCGAAAUGCGAUAAGUAAUGUGAAUUGCAGAAUUCAGUGAAUCAUCGAAUCUUUGAACGCACAUUGCGCCCGGUAGUACUCUACCGGGCAUGCCUGUUCGAGCGUCAUUUCAACCCUCAAGCCCUGCUUGGUGUUGGGGCCCUACGGCUGCCGUAGGCCCUGAAAGGAAGUGGCGGGCUCGCUACAACUCCGAGCGUAGUAAUUCAUUAUCUCGCUAGGGAGGUUGCGGCGUGCUCCUGCCGUUAAAGACCCAUCUUUAACCAAGGUUGACCUCGGAUCAGGUAGGAAUACCCGCUGAACUUAAGCAUAUCAAUAAGCGGAGGAAAAGAAACCAACAGGGAUUGCCCUAGUAACGGCGAGUGAAGCGGCAACAGCUCAAAUUUGAAAUCUGGCUUCGGCCCGAGUUGUAAUUUGUAGAGGAUGCUUUUGGUGAGGUGCCUUCUGAGUUCCCUGGAACGGGACGCCAGAGAGGGUGAGAGCCCCGUAUAGUCGGCCACCGAUCCUUUGUAAAGCUC